Rhodospirillaceae bacterium BRH_c57 is the source of this 247-nucleotide non-coding RNA. NCBI's taxonomy places the organism in Bacteria, Pseudomonadati, Pseudomonadota, Alphaproteobacteria, Rhodospirillales, Rhodospirillaceae. The record is from Rfam.
AGGAUCUGUCCCUAGUACGAGAGGACCGGGAUGGACGUACCUCUGGUGUACCAGUUGUUCCGCCAGGAGCACCGCUGGGUAGCUAUGUACGGACGGGAUAACCGCUGAAAGCAUCUAAGCGGGAAACCUCCCUCAAAACCAGGCAUCCCUUGAGAGCCGUGGAAGACCACCACGUUGAUAGGCCGGGUGUGGAAGCGCAGUAAUGUGUGAAGCUAACCGGUACUAAUCGCUCGAUUGGCUUGAGAGC